This 500-nucleotide ribosomal RNA is filed under the name uncultured bacterium. RNAcentral describes it as "partial 16S ribosomal RNA". It matches the Rfam family "Bacterial small subunit ribosomal RNA", at positions 30 to 523 of the family's 1533-position model. The record is from RNAcentral.
AUUGAACGCUGGCGGAAUGCUUUACACAUGCAAGUCGAACGGCAGCACGGACUUCGGUCUGGUGGCGAGUGGCGAACGGGUGAGUAAUAUAUCGGAACGUGCCCAGUCGUGGGGGAUAACGUAGUGAAAAUUACGCUAAUACCGCAUACGAUCUAAGGAUGAAAGCGGGGGAUCGCAAGACCUCGCGCGAUUGGAGCGGCCGAUAUCAGAUUAGGUAGUUGGUAGGGUAAAGGCCUACCAAGCCAACGAUCUGUAGCUGGUCUGAGAGGACGACCAGCCACACUGGAACUGAGACACGGUCCAGACUCCUACGGGAGGCAGCAGUGGGGAAUUUUGGACAAUGGGCGCAAGCCUGAUCCAGCCAUUCCGCGUGCAGGAUGAAGGCCCUCGGGUUGUAAACUGCUUUUGUACAGAACGAAAAGGUUUCUACUAAUACUAGGAGCUCAUGACGGUACUGUAAGAAUAAGCACCGGCUAACUACGUGCCAGCCGCCGCGGUAA